This 29-nucleotide non-coding RNA is filed under the name Rattus norvegicus (Norway rat). Lineage: Eukaryota; Metazoa; Chordata; Mammalia; Rodentia; Muridae. The record is from RNAcentral.
UCACACAACAAAUGACGUCUCUGCUGCCC